RNAcentral lists this ribosomal RNA (434 nucleotides) under uncultured Lachnospiraceae bacterium. RNAcentral describes it as "partial 16S ribosomal RNA". It matches the Rfam family "Bacterial small subunit ribosomal RNA", at positions 341 to 792 of the family's 1533-position model. The record is from RNAcentral. Lineage: Bacteria; Bacillati; Bacillota; Clostridia; Lachnospirales; Lachnospiraceae.
ACGGAAGGCAGCAGUGGGGAAUAUUGCACAAUGGGGGAAACCCUGAUGCAGCGACGCCGCGUGAGUGAAGAAGUUAUUCGUAAUGUAAAGCUCUAUCAGCAGGGAAGAAAAUGACGGUACCUGACUAAGAAGCCCCGGCUAACUACGUGCCAGCAGCCGCGGUAAUACGUAGGGGGCAAGCGUUAUCCGGAUUUACUGGGUGUAAAGGGAGCGUAGACGGUCUGGCAAGUCUGAUGUGAAAGGCAGGGGCUCAACUCCUGGACUGCAUUGGAAACUGUCAGUCUUGAGUAUCGGAGAGGUAAGCGGAAUUCCUAGUGUAGCGGUGAAAUGCGUAGAUAUUAGGAGGAACACCAGUGGCGAAGGCGGCUUACUGGACGAUAACUGACGUUGAGGCUCGAAAGCGUGGGGAGCAAACAGGAUUAGAUACCCUGGUA